Molecule: non-coding RNA, 29 nt
Filed under: Cricetulus griseus (Chinese hamster)
Lineage: Eukaryota; Metazoa; Chordata; Mammalia; Rodentia; Cricetidae
Source: RNAcentral
AACUGAAGAACAAGACGGUGAAGCCGAGA